This 1808-nucleotide long non-coding RNA is filed under the name Homo sapiens (human). RNAcentral describes it as "HSALNT0069286". The record is from RNAcentral. Lineage: Eukaryota; Metazoa; Chordata; Mammalia; Primates; Hominidae.
GCCAUGAAGAACAGACCUUGAAGAUUUCCUGCUGCAGGGAUCAGGAAACUGAGAUGCUUAUCCAUCACUUGUCAUGUGGCAUUACCUAAAGACUGCUUUCAGGAUCAUCCACUACCUUGUAUCUCUGGCCUGCCCCAUGCUCAGCAGAGAAAAUCUGAGCAGAGAAUGUCAGGUGCUUUUGGCAGAAGGCAUUGGCAUACAUGGGGUGGUAAGUAUAAUAUCAAUGGGAUAUUGGCAGAGCACAAGAAAAGAGUCCAGUGCAGUGAGGUAAGGAAAAAGAGAAGCAAAUUCUUCUUAACACUAAUUAUUUCUUCUCCAGCCUAUCUAAGAUUCACAAGAUUUGGGAGCAGUCAAGUAGCAUUUUCUUUCUGUUUAUGAUUUCCCUCUGAGACUAUCAUUGCUUUAGGCAAAUGCAUUCAUGUGAAGAAUCAUUUUUCUCCAUGUCUGAGCCUAUAAUAAAUGUCAACCCUUUUUUGGCAACUGCAACUAAUGCUGCAGACCUACCAUUACUAAAAAUGAAAUUACACAUGUUAGGACCCCAGAUCAAUGUAUUUCAAGGGACAUUUAAGAUCACUCUGGACAGGCAAUGGAAUCUCUCCACCUCUGUAGCUAUGAGCCUCCUUCUGGAAAAAAAGAUAAAAUUUUUACUUGAUUUUUUUUCUCUUUCUCUUAGUGCUUGGAUCAAGCAAAAAAAAUGCAAAUGAAAUUUCUAGCCUUGUUAAUUCCCCUGAAAUCUAGCAUCCUCUCUAAAAUACUUGGUAAAACUAAGCACCCAGGAAACAAAGUUUAAAGUCUUUAAGGUGUGCUCAGUGUAGCCUGUAAGGUGUUUAAUAAAUAGCCCUUAAAUUUGCAUAGAAAUCAUAGGCCAUUGGAGCAAAAAGUAAGCUCAGGCAAUGUCACAGAAAAUGCUUCAUUUUACAGGUGAGAGAAAUGAAUCCCAGAGAGAAUUGGUUUGCACAAAACUACACGUCCGUUUAGUGGCACAGCAAAAACCAGAAUUAAGGUGGUCUGACACUCAUUCCAAUAAUUUUCAUGGUUUUUUAUGUUUUAAGCUUUGAUAGAAAGACUUUUGUGCAUUAUCUCAUUUAAAGAAACUAAUGAGAUGGUAAGUCAUUUACAAGUCAGUCAUCUGGGUAAGAGCAGGGGAUCCUCUGGGAUCUGAAUGCUUGGGUUCAAAUUCCAGCUCCAACAUGUGUCACCUGCAUGACCCUGAACGAUCUUUCUGUGCUUCCCUUUUCUCCACGGUAAGCAAUGGCAUCUAUCUCAGUACCCUUAAAACGAUUGCAUGAAAUACUGGUAAGCAAUGACAACUAUCUCAGUACCCUUGAAAUGAGUGCUUGAAAUGCUACAAGCAAGUGUCUAGAGAGUGCCUGGACCACAGUUAGUACUCCAUAAAUCUGAAGCGACAUGAUGUCAUCUUCACAACAGCUCUCAAAGAUACUCAUGCAGUGAUGAUACGUGUCAAUCAUUUGACGUCAAAUGUAUUUUUCAUUCCAUCUGGCAAAUCAUAUCCCUCUUCUUGAAUGGAAUUCCUCUGUCACUCUGGGUCUUUCAAUUCACCUUGAAGUGUCCGAACGAAAAAGAUGGAUUUGAUGUCGUGAAAUGGCAAUUCUAAAACUCAGGAGAUAUGUUGGUGUUUCUGAGCUCUUACUCCAGUGUCCACUUGUCCAUAGAAUCACCUUUCACUUCUGGGGUCAGAGGACAGCUCCUGGAAUGAUCUCUCAUCUUACGGCAAAAAGUGAUUCUCAACUGAGGAUGAUUUUAUGCCUUCUACACCUUAAGGGCUAUAUCCCAUCAUUAUCAUCAUC